AACGUAGGUGGCAAGCGUUGUCCGGAAUUACUGGGUGUAAAGGGAGCGCAGGUGGGAAGAUAAGUUGGAUGUUUAAUCUACGGGCUCAACCCGUAUCAGCAUUCAAAACUGUCUUUCUUGAGUGGAGUAGAGGCAGGCGGAAUUCCCGGUGUAGCGGUGGAAUGCGUAGAUAUCGGGAGGAACACCAGCGGCGAAGGCGGCCUGCUGGGCUCUAACUGACACUGAGGCUCGAAAGCGUGGGGAGCAAACAGGAUUAGAUACCCUGGUAGUCCACGCCGUAAACGAUGAUUACUAGGUGUGGGGGGACUGACCCCCUCCGUGCCGCAGUUAACACAAUAAGUAAUCCACCUGGGGAGUACGACCGCAAGGUUGAA
This 374-nucleotide ribosomal RNA is filed under the name uncultured bacterium. RNAcentral's name for it is "bacterial SSU rRNA". It matches the Rfam family "Bacterial small subunit ribosomal RNA", at positions 524 to 898 of the family's 1533-position model. The record is from RNAcentral.